RNAcentral lists this ribosomal RNA (474 nucleotides) under uncultured bacterium. RNAcentral describes it as "bacterial SSU rRNA". It matches the Rfam family "Bacterial small subunit ribosomal RNA", at positions 40 to 507 of the family's 1533-position model. The record is from RNAcentral.
CGGCAUGCCUUACACAUGCAAGUCGAACGGCAGCACGGGAGCAAUCCUGGUGGCGAGUGGCGAACGGGUGAGUAAUAUAUCGGAACGUGCCCAGUCGUGGGGGAUAACGUAGCGAAAGCUACGCUAAUACCGCAUACGAUCUAUGGAUGAAAGCGGGGGACUCGCAAGAGCCUCGCGCGAUUGGAGCGGCCGAUAUCAGAUUAGGUAGUUGGUGGGGUAAAGGCUCACCAAGCCAACGAUCUGUAGCUGGUCUGAGAGGACGACCAGCCACACUGGAACUGAGACACGGUCCAGACUCCUACGGGAGGCAGCAGUGGGGAAUUUUGGACAAUGGACGCAAGUCUGAUCCAGCCAUUCCGCGUGCAGGAUGAAGGCCCUCGGGUUGUAAACUGCUUUUGUACGGAACGAAAAGGUUUCUAUUAAUACUAGGUGCUCAUGACGGUACCGUAAGAAUAAGCACCGGCUAACUACGUG